GACGAACGCUGGCGGCGUGCUUAACACAUGCAAGUCGAGCGAUGAAGUUCCUUCGGGAGUGGAUUAGCGGCGGACGGGUGAGUAACACGUGGGUAACCUGCCUCGUAGAGGGGAAUAGCCUUCCGAAAGGAAGAUUAAUACCGCAUAAGAUUGUAGCUUCGCAUGAAGCAGCAAUUAAAGGAGCAAUCCGCUAUGAGAUGGACCCGCGUCGCAUUAGCUAGUUGGUGAGGUAACGGCUCACCAAGGCGACGAUGCGUAGCCGACCUGAGAGGGUGAUCGGCCACAUUGGGACUGAGACACGGCCCAGACUCCUACGGGAGGCAGCAGUGGGGAAUAUUGCACAAUGGGGGAAACCCUGAUGCAGCAACGCCGCGUGAGUGAUGACGGUCUUCGGAUUGUAAAACUCUGUCUUUAGGGACGAUAAUGACGGUACCUGAGGAGGAAGCCACGGCUAACUACGCGCCAGCAGCCGCAGUAA
RNAcentral lists this ribosomal RNA (478 nucleotides) under uncultured bacterium. Its description in RNAcentral is "partial 16S ribosomal RNA". It matches the Rfam family "Bacterial small subunit ribosomal RNA", at positions 28 to 523 of the family's 1533-position model. The record is from RNAcentral.